UCGAAUAAACUUGGUUAGGUUGCUGCUGGCUCUUAGGAGCAUGUGCACACUGACUCCAUCUUUAACCACCUGUGCACCCUGCGUAGAUCUGAAUAUUUCGAGGAAACUCGGUUUGAGAAUUGCUGUGCGUGAGCCAGCUUUUCUUAUAAUCAGGUCUAUGUUUUCACAUACCCCAUAUGAAUGUAUACGAAUGUUGCAUUUGGCCUUGUGCCAUUAAAAACAAAUA
This 226-nucleotide unclassified non-coding RNA is filed under the name uncultured Entoloma. RNAcentral describes it as "sequence contains ITS1". Lineage: Eukaryota; Fungi; Basidiomycota; Agaricomycetes; Agaricales; Entolomataceae. The record is from RNAcentral.